Artibeus jamaicensis (Jamaican fruit-eating bat) is the source of this 2026-nucleotide long non-coding RNA. RefSeq lists it as uncharacterized. The record is from RefSeq and is a predicted model, not a curated record. Lineage: Eukaryota; Metazoa; Chordata; Mammalia; Chiroptera; Phyllostomidae. The transcript is spliced from 3 exons.
GGAUGCGCUUGUUGAACUGUGAGUUCAUCGUGGCCAGCUGCCGCUCCAGCUCCCAGCCGGGGCCUGGGGAGUCAGUGCCCCGUACUGGAGACCCCCGGCCUGCGGGGUCCCAGCCCAGCUGCUCGGUGCAGAGUGGACCCUGGCCCCCUAAGUCGAGACCUUGGGGUGCAGGGUACACCUGCAUGGCUCACGUGUGGGCCUGUGGGCUGGGGAUGUGGGGGAUACGCUUCCUCACGGGGCACCCCAGGCCCCGGGAGUAGCAGUGAGUGUCUGGGUGCGCCCUGGGCCUUCCCCCAGAGCCGGGAGCCCUGGGUCCCUGGGCCUGGGUCUGGGAGACCAGCCAUUCCCAGGGGUCUUCUGAGCUGGAGGGGACAGCCCCAGGGAGCCUGCCCGCUGCUGGUGCAGAGUCCCCAGCCCGGGCCUGGAAGGCCUCCGCCCCGCGGGGCCCCAGGGUGCCUUGCCUGUGUGAGCUGCCCCGGCCCUGGCCUCACCUACAGCAUCGGUCCACCUGUCCGUGGCCACCGGCCAGCCUCCCACUGCCUCCAAGACGUCCAGCAGCGGCUGAGAGUCUCGCUUCUCUAUGACGCCUGGGCGAGGAAGGAGUGAGCGGUCACUCGCCCGGACACCGCAAGGAGCUGGCGGGAAGCUUGGGACAACGUGGCCCGGAGACAAGGGUGUCGAAGAUGCUGUACCGGGAGUUGGUCUCCGGGACGACCUGGCGCCGCAGCCAACCCCCGCAGGCGUACUGGUAGAAGUCCUCACAGGGUGCCUUGGACGGGUCCAUGUUCUGGAGGAUCCUGGCAGCUGCUCGUCCCCGGGGUGGAGAGGAAGAGGGGAGACCAGCUGUGGGCCCCCGGUCCGAGGGGCACCCUCUCCGAGCCUCAGGGGGGUUGGACGCAGGGGGUUCGACUUCCAGAGCCACCUCACAGCACCCACAUGGUCUUGACCCCCCUCGAUGGCUCCCAUCCCUCCGUUCCCUCCUCUUUCAUUUUGGGGAGCCCGCAUCCCAGGCAGAGCCCACUUCCUCCGCCCACCCCACCUCGGAGGCAGGGCCCGCCAUCUGUCCCAAUGGUGGUCUCCCUCCAGGGCUGUGCCCCUGGGCCUGCAGCCGGGCCAGAGUCACGGUCACUGGCAGCCGCAGGGCAGGGCGGGGCAGGGCUGAGGAAGGGCGCUCACCUGCUAUCACACAGCCGGGGCUGGUGCAGAUCUGGUCAUCCUGGGACACUUUGAUGGCUGGGGACAAGGAGCAGUGUGAGCCCUGGGGAGGCAGCGAGCAGGUGGGGUGCAGGCAGGGAGCCCGUAGGGUGGGGCGCUGUGUAGGGAGGGGGCCCGGCCUCCACACCACCUCCGGUCCCCGAGAAUGGUCCGGCAGGGCACCCUGAGGACAAGUCCAGAGGGCAGCUGCCCGUCCUCCCUGGGUGGCUCGGGCCUGUGGCCUUGAGUGGGGGACGGUCUCCUUCUGGUGGACUCCCCACAGCUGCCCAGGCCCCAGGGCUGAAGCAGGUCAUGAUGCCUUCCUGCCUGUCUGCCCGGUCAGCUCUCCCCUGUCAGGGGUCAACUCCUCCAGGCAGCCUGCCUGGGCUGCCCGUCCUGCACACCUGGACCCCAAGAUCCGACUCCCCUUUCCCCGUCCAGGUGGUUAUAUCACCAUGUCCCUGCUGGCCCUCAGGGGCAGCUUGGGGACAGCUGACUCAUGCUGGUCCCAGCACUGGGGGAGCAUCCUGCCUCCUGCCACUGUCCUCCGUGUUCACGGGACUCUAGGCCCUCCCACUGCCCACACACCCUGGGCCUGUAGUGGACACGGCCGGGCCGUGGGCUCCCCACCCAUCUGCCCAGGCGUGUCUGGGGGGGGGCGAGACUACCUCGGGGUUCUCGAGCUGCGGGGGUCUUCUCUUCCUGGGAGAAGCGCAGCCGGCUGAGAAGGAGCGGCAGCUGCUGCCCUGGGGAGAAACACAGCGCUCGCCCCGUCCCCCGGCCUCCUGCUCCCAGGCUGCCCGGGGAACGGACGCUCGGGAAGGUGCUGCCC